This is a long non-coding RNA of Amphibalanus amphitrite, 1341 nucleotides long. RefSeq lists it as uncharacterized. Lineage: Eukaryota; Metazoa; Arthropoda; Thecostraca; Balanomorpha; Balanidae. The transcript is spliced from 2 exons. The record is from RefSeq and is a predicted model, not a curated record.
AUAUUUAUCAGAAUAAGGUAGAAGUGUAGGGGGUGGCAGGUGAGGUGCAGAAGGAGAAGAAGAAGAAGUUGUACCUAUCCAGUAAUUUUAUCUUGAUUUGUGGACUAGACGAAGACUAGAUUUUGAUGAAGAAAUCGACAAACUUGAACUGCAGGACUCGUGGCGCUGCUCGCCUCUUCGCCAAUGCGAAUGCGUUCUCUGAGGACAACCCGCCCAAGGCUACCAUGACGAAGCCACGCCACCGCGCCGGCUAUAGACUCACGGCCUGAAGCGAGUUUGGGCGCGACGGCUGGCGAGCCAAGGCGGCGGAAAGUCGUCUGGCGGAGCUCCCGUCUGAGGCGAGCUUGAUCUGGUCAGACAGCUCCGCCACCGAUGGUGUGCUAGAUGGAGGAGGAGGGGCCACCCCCCCCCCCCCCCCUGAACCGCGACAUCCGAGAGGUGCGUGUCGCGGCAGGCGCCCUCUGCUUUAGCACGCGCGGCGAGCUAUUCGCCCUAAGAGCGGUGUUGGAGGAGCUGGCCGGACGGAUGGUACCGGUCGAUAUGGGUCGACCGCCGUCUAUCCCAACGGUAGCGCCGAUCGACGUGGGCACUUUCUGCAAGGCAGGCGCGCGCGCGCGACAGGCGCGCCACGGCAGGCGCGCGCGCGGGAGGCCGACCGUGCAGUCGUUAUCGACAUCCGCCAGUACCUGCUCUGCAUCGGCCGCCUCCCGAGGCCGGAUGCCGACAAUGCAACGACGUGGAGUGCCCUGCUGCCCGAUGCCGCGUCUGCCGCGAAGAGGCUGGCACUCCACGGUAUGUGCUGCUGCGAUGCGCGGCGCUGGCGGUGUUGCGACAAAGAGCCUCGGCAGCUGAACUGCUUCAAGCGACGUAACGAUAUCUGCCCUCCCCUCCCCUAUCGAGACGCGUGGGUGUGGACGGACGGGUCGGCAGACGCGAGAACCUGCAGCGAAGGAGCUGGGGUCUACGGGGAGUAGCAGCACGAAUGGACUGAUGAGCCGCGUGUCCCGGCCGGUCCAUUCUGCUGUUCCAGCUCCAGGACCGGCCGCGCCGUCGCCACCCGUCCGGCGUCAGUGGAGGACCGCUCAUCAGCUGUCGAUUUUCAUCAGUUUCGUUUGGACCACUGGUCGGGCUCCUGCCAGUGCCGACAUUGGGUUGGGCGGAGUCCUACCGAUGAAUGCCGCGAGUGCUGCAACAUUGGCUCGGUACAUCUCGGUACAUUUUCCCGAGUCUGGUGUGGCUACGGGGAGACGGAUUUGGUGACCCUGGCUGCCGCCGUGAGAACCAUCCAGAACCGUACGGCUAUGCUGCGGCAGCGGCUGAAAGGAACGCAACAACAAUAAC